CGUAGGGUCCGAGCGUUGUCCGGAGUUACUGGGCGUAAAGGGCGCGCAGGCGGCGGUGCUGGCCCGGCGUGAAAGCCCCCGGCUCAACCGGGGAGGGUCGUCGGGGACCGCACCGCUUGAGGGCGGUAGGGCUGGUGGAAUGCCUGGUGUAGUGGUGAAAUGCGUAGAGAUCAGGCGGAACACCCGUGGCGAAGGCGGCCAGCUGGGCCGUCCCUGACGCUGAGGCGCGAAGGCGUGGGAGCGAACGGGAUUAGACUACCCCGGUAGUCCACGCAGUAAACGAUGCCGACUAGGCGUGGGGGGAGUUGACCCCCUCCGUGCCGGAGCCAACGCGGGAAGUCGGCCGCCUGGGGAGUACGGCCGCAAGGCUA
This 371-nucleotide ribosomal RNA is filed under the name uncultured organism. RNAcentral's name for it is "bacterial SSU rRNA". It matches the Rfam family "Bacterial small subunit ribosomal RNA", at positions 526 to 896 of the family's 1533-position model. The record is from RNAcentral.